GAUGAACGCUAGCGGGAGGCCUAACACAUGCCAGCCGAGCGGUAGAGUUUCUUCGGAAACUUGAGAGCGGCGCACGGGUGCGUAACACGUGUGCAACCUACCUUUAUCUGGGGGAUAGCCUUUCGAAAGGAAGAUUAAUACCCCAUAAUAUAAUGAUUGGCAUCAAUUAUUAUUGAAAACUCCGGUGGAUAGAGAUGGGCACGCGCAAGAUUAGAUAGUUGGUGAGGUAACGGCUCACCAAGUCAAUGAUCUUUAGGGGUCCUGAGAGGGAGAUCCCCCACACUGGGACUGAGACACGGACCAGACUCCUACGGGAGGCAGCAGUGAGGAAUAUUGGACAAUGGGUGAGAGCCUGAUCCAGCCAUCCCGCGUGAAGGAUGACGGUCCUAUGGAUUGUAAACUUCUUUUGUACAGGGAUAAACCUACCCUCGUGAGGGUAGCUGAAGGUACUGUACGAAUAAGCACCGGCUAACUCCGUG
This 479-nucleotide ribosomal RNA is filed under the name uncultured bacterium. RNAcentral describes it as "partial 16S ribosomal RNA". It matches the Rfam family "Bacterial small subunit ribosomal RNA", at positions 28 to 507 of the family's 1533-position model. The record is from RNAcentral.